Molecule: ribosomal RNA, 468 nt
Filed under: uncultured bacterium
Lineage: Bacteria
Description: partial 16S ribosomal RNA
Rfam family: Bacterial small subunit ribosomal RNA
Source: RNAcentral
GACGAACGCUGGCGGCGUGCUUAACACAUGCAAGUCGAACGGAAAGGCCCUGCUUUUGUGGGGUGCUCGAGUGGCGAACGGGUGAGUAACACGUGAGUAACCUGCCCUUGACUUUGGGAUAACUUCAGGAAACUGGGGCUAAUACCGGAUAGGAGCUCCUGCUGCAUGGUGGGGGUUGGAAAGUUUCGGCGGUUGGGGAUGGACUCGCGGCUUAUCAGCUUGUUGGUGGGGUAGUGGCUUACCAAGGCUUUGACGGGUAGCCGGCCUGAGAGGGUGACCGGCCACAUUGGGCCUGGGAUGCGGCCCAGACUCCUACGGGGGGCAGCGGUGGGGAAUAUUGCGCAAUGGGCGGCAGCCUGAUGCAGCAACGCCGCGUGCGGGAUGACGGCCUUCGGGUUGUAAACCGCUUUCGCCUGUGACGAAGCGUGAGUGACGGUAAUGGGUAAAGAAGCACCGGCUAACUACGUG